RNAcentral lists this ribosomal RNA (449 nucleotides) under uncultured bacterium. RNAcentral's name for it is "partial 16S ribosomal RNA". It matches the Rfam family "Bacterial small subunit ribosomal RNA", at positions 29 to 523 of the family's 1533-position model. The record is from RNAcentral.
AACGAACGCUGGCGGCAGGCUUAACACAUGCAAGUCGAACGCAUCCUUCGGGGUGAGUGGCAGACGGGUGAGUAACGCGUGGGAACGUGCCCUUCAGUUCGGGAUAACCCAGGGAAACUUGGGCUAAUACCGGAUACGUGCGAGAGCAGAAAGAUUUAUCGCUGAAGGAUCGGCCCGCGUCUGAUUAGCUAGUUGGUGGGGUAAUGGCCCACCAAGGCGACGAUCAGUAGCUGGUGUGAGAGGAUGAUCAGCCACAUUGGGACUGAGACACGGCCCAAACUCCUACGGGAGGCAGCAGUGGGGAAUAUUGGACAAUGGGCGCUAGCCUGAUCCAGCCAUGCCGCGUGAGUGAUGAAGGCCUUAGGGUUGUAAAGCUCUUUCGUCCGGGACGAUAAUGACGGUACCGGAAGAAGAAGCCCCGGCUAACUUCGUGCCAGCAGCCGCCGUAA